Molecule: ribosomal RNA, 292 nt
Filed under: uncultured bacterium
Lineage: Bacteria
Description: partial 16S ribosomal RNA
Rfam family: Bacterial small subunit ribosomal RNA
Source: RNAcentral
GUGUCAGCAGCCGCGGUAAUACGGGGGGUGCUAGCGUUAUUCGGAAUCAUUGGGCGUAAAGGGCGCGUAGGCGGUCGCUUAAGUCAGAUGUGAAAGCCCUCGGCUUAACCGAGGAAGUGCAUUUGAUACUAAGUGACUUGAGUAUGGGAGAGGGAAGCGGAAUUCCUGGUGUAGCGGUGAAAUGCGUAGAUAUCAGGAGGAACACCGGUGGCGAAGGCGGCUUCCUGGACCAAUACUGACGCUGAGGCGCGAAGGCGUGGGGAGCAAACAGGAUUAGAUACCCCCGUAGUCC